UUAGCGGCGGANGGGUGAGUAACACGUGGGCAACCUGCCCCUUAGACUGGGAUAACUCCGGGAAACCGGAGCUAAUACCGRAUAAUCCCUUUCUCCACCUGGAGAGAGGGUGAAAGAUGGCUUCGGCUAUCACUARGGGAUGGGCCCGCGGCGCAWUAKCUAGUUGGUAAGGUAACGGCUUACCARGGCAACGAUGCGUASCCSACCUGAGAGGGUGAUCGGCCACACUGGGACUGAGACACGGCCCASACUCCUACGGGAGGCAGCAGUAGGGAAUCUUCCGCARUGGACGAAAGUCUGACGGAGCAACGCCGCGUGAGUGAGGAAGGCCUUCGGGUCGUAAAGCUCUGUUGUGAGGGAARAAGCGGUACCGUUCRAAUAGGGCGGURCCUUGACGGUACCUCACCAGAAAGCCACGGCUAACUACGUGCCAGCAGCCGCGGUAAUACGUAGGUGGCAAGCGUUGUCCGGAAUUAUUGGGCGUAAAGCGCGCGCAGGCGGCUUCUUAAGUCUGAUGUGAAAUCUCGGGGCUCAACCCCGAGCGGCCAUUGGAAACUGGGGAGCUUGAGUGCAGAAGAGGAGAGUGGAAUUCCACGUGUAGCGGUGAAAUGCGUAGAGAUGUGGAGGAACACCAGUGGCGAAGGCGACUCUCUGGUCUGUAACUGACGCUGAGGCGCGAAAGCGUGGGGAGCAAACAGGAUUAKAUACCCUGGUAGUCCACGCCGUAGACGAUGAGUGCUAGGUGUUAGGUGUUUCGAUGCCCGUAGUGCCGAAGUUAACACAUUAAGCACUCCGCCUGGAGAGUACGGCCGCAAGGCUGAAACUCAGAGGAAUUGACGGGGACCCGCACAAGCAGUGGAGCAUGUGGUUUAAUUCGAAGCAACGCGAAGAACCUUACCAGGUCUUGACAUCCUUUGACCACCCAAGAGAUUGGGCUUCCUCUUCGGGGGCAAAGUGACAGGUGGUGCAUGGUUGUCGUCAGCUCGUGUCGUGAGAUGUUGGGUUAAGUCCCGCAACGAGCGCACCCUUGAUCUUAUUGCCAGCAUUGAGUUGGGCACUCUAAGGUGACUGCCGGUGACAACCGGAGRAAGGUGGGGAUGACGUCAAUCAUCA
This 1113-nucleotide ribosomal RNA is filed under the name Bacillus sp. (in: firmicutes). RNAcentral describes it as "bacterial SSU rRNA". It matches the Rfam family "Bacterial small subunit ribosomal RNA", at positions 92 to 1195 of the family's 1533-position model. The record is from RNAcentral. Lineage: Bacteria; Bacillati; Bacillota; Bacilli; Caryophanales; Bacillaceae.